RNAcentral lists this ribosomal RNA (461 nucleotides) under uncultured bacterium. RNAcentral describes it as "bacterial SSU rRNA". It matches the Rfam family "Bacterial small subunit ribosomal RNA", at positions 75 to 529 of the family's 1533-position model. The record is from RNAcentral.
GCAGCUCGCUGCUUUGCUGACGAGUGGCGGACGGGUGAGUAAUGUCUGGGAAACUGCCCGAUGGAGGGGGAUAACUACUGGAAACGGUAGCUAAUACCGCAUAACGUCGCAAGACCAAAGAGGGGGACCUUCGGGCCUCUUGCCAUCGGAUGUGCCCAGAUGGGAUUAGCUAGUAGGUGGGGUAAAGGCUCACCUAGGCGACGAUCCCUAGCUGGUCUGAGAGGAUGACCAGCCACACUGGAACUGAGACACGGUCCAGACUCCUACGGGAGGCAGCAGUGGGGAAUAUUGCACAAUGGGCGCAAGCCUGAUGCAGCCAUGCCGCGUGUAUGAAGAAGGCCUUCGGGUUGUAAAGUACUUUCAGCGGGGAGGAAGGGAGUAAAGUUAAUACCUUUGCUCAUUGACGUUACCCGCAGAAGAAGCACCGGCUAACUCCGUGCCAGCAGCCGCGGUAAUACGGA